AAGCGGUGGAUGAUGUGGUUUAAUUCGAUGCAACGCGAAAACCUUACCUACCCUUGACAUGUACGGAACUUGCCAGAGAUGGCUUGGUGCUCGAAAGAGAGCCGUAACACAGGUGCUGCAUGGCUGUCGUCAGCUCGUGUCGUGAGAUGUUGGGUUAAGUCCCGCAACGAGCGCAACCCUUGUCAUUAGUUGCUACGAAAGGGCACUCUAAUGAGACUGCCGGUGACAAACCGGAGGAAGGUGGGGAUGACGUCAAGUCCUCAUGGCCCUUAUGGGUAGGGCUACACACGUCAUACAAUGGCCGGUACAAAGGGCAGCCAACCCGCGAGGGGGAGCCAAUCCCGUAAAGCCGGUCGUAGUCCGGAUCGCAGUCUGCAACUCGACUGCGUGAAGUCGGAAUCGCUAGUAAUCGUGGAUCAGCAUGUCACGGUGAAUACGUUCCCGGGUCUU
Molecule: ribosomal RNA, 450 nt
Filed under: uncultured Achromobacter sp.
Lineage: Bacteria; Pseudomonadati; Pseudomonadota; Betaproteobacteria; Burkholderiales; Alcaligenaceae
Description: bacterial SSU rRNA
Rfam family: Bacterial small subunit ribosomal RNA
Source: RNAcentral